AUGCACGCUGGCGGCGUGCCUAAUACAUGCAAGUAGCACGCUGAAGGAGGAGCUUGCUCUUCUGGAUGAGUUGCGAACGGGUGAGUAACGCGUAGGUAACCUGCCUGGUAGCGGGGGAUAACUAUUGGAAACGAUAGCUAAUACCGCAUGACAACAGUUAUUGCAUGAUAACUGUUUAAAAGGGGCAACUGCUCCACUACCAGAUGGACCUGCGUUGUAUUAGCUAGUUGGUGAGGUAACGGCUCACCAAGGCGACGAUACAUAGCCGACCUGAGAGGGUGAUCGGCCACACUGGGACUGAGACACGGCCCAGACUCCUACGGGAGGCAGCAGUAGGGAAUCUUCGGCAAUGGACGGAAGUCUGACCGAGCAACGCCGCGGGAGUGAAGAAGGUUUUCGGAUCGUAAAGCUCUGUUGUAAGAGAAGAACGAGUGUGAGAGUGGAAAGUUCACACUGUGACGGUAGCUUACCAGAAAGGGACGGCUAACUACGUG
This 494-nucleotide ribosomal RNA is filed under the name uncultured bacterium. RNAcentral describes it as "partial 16S ribosomal RNA". It matches the Rfam family "Bacterial small subunit ribosomal RNA", at positions 29 to 507 of the family's 1533-position model. The record is from RNAcentral.